AGGUGUUCAACCCACAACUUCCUCUCCCUCUGUAUUGGAAUCCUCUCCCAGAAUGAAAACUGUCUCCACUGCUUCCUCAACCUCAACCUCAGGCCCAUCAGAGAUUGCCAUCAGACUCCCCAUCUUCUUCAUAGUGCUGAUUCUGCCUGGGCUCAUUGCAACUGUUCAUUUAGUGAGAAGGAGGAAGCAGACGUGUAGAGAGGAUCCCCCAGCCAUUGAACUACACGAACUGAAUUAACAUGGAGAACCCAGAAUGGUCUACAUGACUUUAUGUGAAGACACUGGCUU
Clupea harengus (Atlantic herring) is the source of this 288-nucleotide long non-coding RNA. RefSeq lists it as uncharacterized. The record is from RefSeq and is a predicted model, not a curated record. The transcript has 3 exons. NCBI's taxonomy places the organism in Eukaryota, Metazoa, Chordata, Actinopteri, Clupeiformes, Clupeidae.